Molecule: transfer RNA, 84 nt
Filed under: Bacteroidales bacterium
Lineage: Bacteria; Pseudomonadati; Bacteroidota; Bacteroidia; Bacteroidales
Description: tRNA-Leu
Rfam family: tRNA
About the family: Transfer RNA (tRNA) molecules are approximately 80 nucleotides in length. Their secondary structure includes four short double-helical elements and three loops (D, anti-codon, and T loops). Further hydrogen bonds mediate the characteristic L-shaped molecular structure. tRNAs have two regions of fundamental functional importance: the anti-codon, which is responsible for specific mRNA codon recognition, and the 3' end, to which the tRNAs corresponding amino acid is attached (by aminoacyl-tRNA synthetases). tRNAs cope with the degeneracy of the genetic code in two manners: having more than one tRNA (with a specific anti-codon) for a particular amino acid; and 'wobble' base-pairing, i.e. permitting non-standard base-pairing at the 3rd anti-codon position.
Source: RNAcentral
GCCCAAGUGGCGGAACUGGUAGACGCGCUACAUUCAGGGUGUAGUGGGCGAACGCCCGUGCAAGUUCGAGUCUUGUCUUGGGCA